GAAAUGAUGGAAAAGGAAAUGAUGGAAAAAAAAGUAAUGACCGAUCAGAAUUUAUUUUAACAAAAAAUGUAAUAAACAAUUUGUUUAGUAAUAAAGAUGUAUUGUAUAAUACGAAAGGUUACACUAAUUAUUGGAAUAAUAUCAGUAAAAGUGCUAAAAGUGGUCUUAUUACUAAUAUUUCAUCCAGUAUUGUAAAAACUGAUCACAUCCCUUAUCUUAUAAAUCCUUCUCCUUUUUUUUAUCAUUCCAUUUUAAGCAAUAAUAAAAUUACAAAGAUACAUUACAGUUUUUGUAUGGAGUAUUUUUUUAAUUUUUUAACUAUUCAUAAUUUAUUUUUAAAUAUAUUAAAAGAUGGUAAACAUAACACAAAUGUUAAUAUUCUAGAAUUUUUUUGGGGGGUAGAAAAUGAUACUUCUGUUGGUACUAGCACAAAUGAUACAAAUAUAAUGUUAAUUAUAUCAUACAUUUCAAACUUUUUUAUUUAUUUUUUAUAUGUUUGUACAAAAAUUAAUAGACAUAAUACAAGUAAAACAACUUUAAUUAACAACACAUAUUACGAUGCAUUGUCUAAAUUAAUUAAUAUCACUAUUGAAAAAAAUGAAAACUCAUUAAUCGUUUUAAAUAUAGAAAAUAUUAAUAGUAGUAUUAUGAAAGUUGAUAUUUUUUCAAAUAUUCAACAAAAGUUACUUAUAAAAAAAAAUGACAAAUCGUUACAUACUGAUACAUAUGAGUUUAUAGAAUCUAUAAGAAAUAAAAAAAAAGAAAAAAAAACAAACAAACAAAUAAUAAGUGAUAAUAUUUUUUGUAUUGAUAAUAAUAACACAAGUAACAAAAAUAAUAUAGUCCAUAACAAAAAAUCUCAAUAUAUGGAUUUAAUAUGUAAAGAAUAUAACAGUAACAAUUAUUAUUCAAAAUAUACACGGUAUUAUAAGAAUUGGUCUUGGAGAGGAAAAAAUCGUUUAUAUAUUUAUUAUUACAAUUUACUUUUAGAAAGAUGUCGUAAGAAUUAUAAUAUUUAUAACAGUAAUAAUGUCAGUAACAGUAGUAACCUUUUUUUUAUGAAACAAAUUUUAUAUAAUUUACCAUUUAUUAUUAAAAAAGAUGUAGCUCUUUUUUUUAAAAAAAAAAGAAGUAUAAAAAAUAGGAAAAAUAAAAACACUGACUGUUGUACAAAAAAAAAUAAUAUAUUUAGAAAAGUUAAAAAGGGAAUAACAUUUAAACAAGUAAAAAAAAAAGAAAUUUUAAAAAAUGUUGAAAAUGGUUUGGGGUUUACAUAUUUUGUUGAUUAUACAAAAGAUAAGAAAGAAACAAUAAAAUCUAUGUUUGACAAUUUUAAUAUUAUAAAGGUUUUAUGUAAAAGUGGUAGUAGUGGUAGUAAUAGUAGUAGUGGUAGUAAUAGUAGUAGUGGUAGUAGCAGUUUCAGCAGUAGUGGUAGACGAGGUGACAAAAAUAGGUAUAAUUUAUUAUUUAUACUUUUGUGGAAUAUUAAUCCUAAAAAUAUAUUAAGUGAUUAUUAUUAUUAUUAUUAUUAUUAUUAUUAUUAUUAUUAUUAUGUGUUAACUAACUGUGUUUUAUCUAGAUUAUAUUACAACUACAACUAUUUUAAUUUUAUACAUGAUUAUACUAACAAUUAUUUUUUUAAUGGUUUUAAAAAAAAUGAGAAUUAUAAACAGAUUGAUAAAAAUGAUGAACAAUAUGGUAACAUUAGAAAUAAGGUUCCUUUCGACUUGUCAACUGGAAUUAUUAAUGAUAUUUGUAUGACUAAUUAUAAAAGUAAUAAUAAAAAGAAAAAAAAAACAAUAAUUACUACGGAAUGUUUAUAUAAAUUACUUUUUUUUCAAAUUCGUGAUAAUAAUUGUUGUUGGUAUGAUGAGAAAAACUAUUAUAACGAUAAAACAAAUAUAAAUAAAAAUAAAUUUUUAAAUGUUAAAAAAAGAAAUAAAGAAAAAAAAAAUAUUGGUUUAAAUAAUAAUAAAAUAUGUGGAAAAAAAAAACAUGUAGUAGUAGAUGAAUGUAAAAUGUUAGAUCAAGACAUUUAUACGUCAAUGGAAAAAACAGAUAGAACGGAAAAAGCAAACACAAUGGAAAA
Piliocolobus tephrosceles (Ugandan red Colobus) is the source of this 2089-nucleotide long non-coding RNA. NCBI's taxonomy places the organism in Eukaryota, Metazoa, Chordata, Mammalia, Primates, Cercopithecidae. The record is from Ensembl.